This 209-nucleotide ribosomal RNA is filed under the name uncultured Smithella sp. RNAcentral describes it as "partial 16S ribosomal RNA". It matches the Rfam family "Bacterial small subunit ribosomal RNA", at positions 568 to 774 of the family's 1533-position model. The record is from RNAcentral. Lineage: Bacteria; Pseudomonadati; Thermodesulfobacteriota; Syntrophia; Syntrophales; Smithellaceae.
CGUGUAGGCGGCUGGAUAAGUCAGAUGUGAAAGCCCCUGGGCUUAACCCCAGGAAGUGCAUUUGAAACUGUUCAGCUUGAGUAGGGGAGAGGAAAGUGGAAUUCCUGGUGUAGAGGUGAAAUUCGUAGAUAUCAGGAGGAACACCGGUGGCGAAGGCGACUUUCUGGCCCUAUACUGACGCUGAGACGCGAGAGCGUGGGUAGCAAACA